GACGAACGCUGGCGGCGCGCUUAACACAUGCAAGUCGAACGGAAAGGCCUGCUUUCCCUUGUGGAUUGCGGGUACUCGAGUGGCGAACGGGUGAGUAACACGUGAGUGAUCUGCCCCCAACUUGGGUAUAAGCCUGGGAAACUGGGUCUAAUUCCCGAUAGGACUGCAGGGUGGUGCCUGUGGUGGAAAACGAUUUUCUAGUGGUUGGGGAUGAGCUCGCGGCCUAUCAGCUUGUUGGUGGGGUAAUGGCCUACCAAGGCGGCGACGGGUAGCCGGCCUGAGAGGGUGGACGGCCACAUUGGGACUGAGAUACGGCCCAGACUCCUACGGGAGGCAGCAGUGGGGAAUAUUGCACAAUGGGCGGAAGCCUGAUGCAGCGACGCCGCGUGGGGGAUGACGGCCUUCGGGUUGUAAACUCCUUUCGACCGCGAGGAAGCCACCUGGUUGGAAGGGUGGUGACGGUAGUGGUAGAAGAAGCACCGGCUAACUACGUA
This 494-nucleotide ribosomal RNA is filed under the name uncultured bacterium. Its description in RNAcentral is "partial 16S ribosomal RNA". It matches the Rfam family "Bacterial small subunit ribosomal RNA", at positions 28 to 507 of the family's 1533-position model. The record is from RNAcentral.